AGCGGGGUGGGGUAGCCAGGAAAACCCGUCGGGCUCAUAACCCGAAAAUCCGUGGUUCAAAUCCACGCCCCGCUA
This 75-nucleotide transfer RNA is filed under the name Thermoplasmata archaeon. RNAcentral describes it as "tRNA-Met". It matches the Rfam family "tRNA". From Rfam's summary of the family: Transfer RNA (tRNA) molecules are approximately 80 nucleotides in length. Lineage: Archaea; Methanobacteriati; Thermoplasmatota; Thermoplasmata. The record is from RNAcentral.